CAGUUGCCGCGGUAACACGAAGGGUGCAAGCGUUAAUCGGAAUUACUGGGCGUAAAGCGUGCGUAGGCGGUGAGUUAAGUCUGCUGUGAAAUCCCCGGGCUCAACCUGGGAAUGGCAGUGGAUACUGGCAAGCUAGAGUGUGUCAGAGGAUGGUGGAAUUCCCGGUGUAGCGGUGAAAUGCGUAGAGAUCGGGAGGAACAUCAGUGGCGAAGGCGGCCAUCUGGGACAACACUGACGCUGAGGCACGAAAGCGUGGGGAGCAAACAGGAUUAGAUACCCGCGUAGUCCCUGUCUCUUAUAC
RNAcentral lists this ribosomal RNA (301 nucleotides) under uncultured bacterium. RNAcentral describes it as "partial 16S ribosomal RNA". It matches the Rfam family "Bacterial small subunit ribosomal RNA", at positions 509 to 807 of the family's 1533-position model. The record is from RNAcentral.